UACGUAGGGGGCAAGCGUUGUCCGGAAUCAUUGGGCGUAAGGAGCGUGUAGGCGGCUUGGUAAGUCCGCUGUGAAAGUCCAGGGCUCAACCCUGGAAAGCCGGUGGAAACUGUCAAGCUUGAGUCCGGAAGAGGCGAGUGGAAUUCCUGGUGUAGCGGUGAAAUGCGCAGAUAUCAGGAGGAACACCAAUGGCGAAGGCAACUCGCUGGGACGGUACUGACGCUGAGACGCGAAAGCGUGGGGAGCAAACAGG
RNAcentral lists this ribosomal RNA (253 nucleotides) under uncultured bacterium. Its description in RNAcentral is "partial 16S ribosomal RNA". It matches the Rfam family "Bacterial small subunit ribosomal RNA", at positions 524 to 776 of the family's 1533-position model. The record is from RNAcentral.